AACAAGACAAGUCAAAAGAGAAGUAUGCAAGUGCGAUUUUUCAGAGAGCUGAUGGUGGUGGGAAUCAGUAAAUCAACCUUUCAGAAAUGGACUUUUGUGUCAAAUGAUUGAAAGAAGUAGGUCAUUUCGGGCAGCGCCCGUUAUAGCGCAAAGUCGUUGUUUGACGAUGAAGAGUAUAAUUUGAGGUGGCACCGUGAGAGAUUCGCCCUCAUG
RNAcentral lists this non-coding RNA (213 nucleotides) under Enterococcus sp. Its description in RNAcentral is "T-box sequence". It matches the Rfam family "T-box leader". From Rfam's summary of the family: Uncharged tRNA acts as the effector for transcription antitermination of genes in the T-box leader family. Lineage: Bacteria; Bacillati; Bacillota; Bacilli; Lactobacillales; Enterococcaceae. The record is from RNAcentral.